UCCCCAAAAGCUUUCAGCAAAGCCCUUUUCUAGCACAGGUGAGGGAGGGGUGUGGUAAGGAAGGGUCCAGGUCCCAGGGUACAACUUUCACCCUCCAAAGUCCGGUCCCGGCUAAGAGGAGACACAUCUCAGUUGGCAGGAGCUCUCUCAGGGCCAGGAUCCCAGACCCCACCCAGCGGUCACCACUGAGGGAGCCAGGUGCCCAACCCAGCUGGCUCUCGGGCUCCUCAGGCCGCACGAAUGGGGCGGGGGCAGGUCCCACAGGCUGUGACCUGCAGACUCGCUGCUAUUAGGUCACAGAGGAGAGGAUGGGGGAGACAUUCACGGCUGCCAUGAAGGCCUGAGCCAAGGCCAGCGGGCGGCCUUGGUGAGGGCUCUGGAGCCCUACAGAACACCGCCCUCAGCCUAUUCCCCAGACCCUCCAGCCCACACACUGGCCCAAGGCCUGGUGAGCUGGAGGGUCCUGGGGAGAGGCUGGGAUCCACCUCUUAUCUCACUCUCUCACGACCAACACUCUACCAACAGUUGACCAAAUCCCCCCCACUAAAGGUUGCUCGGUGACAGCUGGUUGAUGUGGGCGGGGCCCACUUCGUGCUGACCAAUGGCUGAGCCAGCCUCAUUGCCAGAUUUCUGAGUCUUGGGCACAGAGACCCAAUCAUG
This is a non-coding RNA of Odocoileus virginianus texanus, 660 nucleotides long. Lineage: Eukaryota; Metazoa; Chordata; Mammalia; Artiodactyla; Cervidae. The record is from RefSeq and is a predicted model, not a curated record.